GGAGGAAGGUGGGGAUGACGUCAAGUCAUCAUGGCCCUUACGGCCAGGGCCACACACGUGCUACAAUGGCGCGUACAGAGGGCUGCAAGCUAGCGAUAGUGAGCGAAUCCCAAAAAGCGCGUCGUAGUCCGGAUCGGAGUCUGCAACUCGACUCCGUGAAGUCGGAAUCGCUAGUAAUCGCAAAUCAGAAUGUUGCGGUGAAUACGUUCCCGGGCCUUGUACAUACCGCCCGUCACACCAUGGAAGUUUGUUGCACCAGAAGUAGGUAGUCUAACCGCAAGGAGGANGCUUACACGGUGUGGCCGAUGACUGGG
Molecule: ribosomal RNA, 314 nt
Filed under: uncultured bacterium
Lineage: Bacteria
Description: bacterial SSU rRNA
Rfam family: Bacterial small subunit ribosomal RNA
Source: RNAcentral